Molecule: ribosomal RNA, 497 nt
Filed under: uncultured bacterium
Lineage: Bacteria
Description: partial 16S ribosomal RNA
Rfam family: Bacterial small subunit ribosomal RNA
Source: RNAcentral
GAUGAACGCUGGCGGCGUGCCUAAUACAUGCCAGUCGAGCGAACAGACGAGGAGCUUGCUCCUCUGACGUUAGCGGCGGACGGGUGAGUAACACGUGGAUAACCUACCUAUAAGACUGGGAUAACUUCGGGAAACCGGAGCUAAUACCGGAUAAUAUAUUGAACCGCAUGGUUCAAUGGUGAAAGACGGUUUUGCUGUCACUUAUAGAUGGAUCCGCGCCGCAUUAGCUAGUUGGUAAGGUAACGGCUUACCAAGGCAACGAUGCGUAGCCGACCUGAGAGGGUGAUCGGCCACACUGGAACUGAGACACGGUCCAGACUCCUACGGGAGGCAGCAGUAGGGAAUCUUCCGCAAUGGGCGAAAGCCUGACGGAGCAACGCCGCGUGAGUGAUGAAGGUCUUCGGAUCGUAAAACUCUGCUAUUAGGGAAGAACAAAUGUGUAAGUAACUAUGCACGUCUUGACGGUACCUAAUCAGAAAGCCACGGCUAACUACGUG